UUCCGUAGGUGAACCUGCGGAAGGAUCAUUACCGAGUGAGGGCCCUCUGGGUCCAACCUCCCACCCGUGUUUAUUUUACCUUGUUGCUUCGGCGGGCCCGCCUUAACUGGCCGCCGGGGGGCUUACGCCCCCGGGCCCGCGCCCGCCGAAGACACCCUCGAACUCUGUCUGAAGAUUGUAGUCUGAGUGAAAAUAUAAAUUAUUUAAAACUUUCAACAACGGAUCUCUUGGUUCCGGCAUCGAUGAAGAACGCAGCGAAAUGCGAUACGUAAUGUGAAUUGCAAAUUCAGUGAAUCAUCGAGUCUUUGAACGCACAUUGCGCCCCCUGGUAUUCCGGGGGGCAUGCCUGUCCGAGCGUCAUUUCUGCCCUCAAGCACGGCUUGUGUGUUGGGCCCCGUCCUCCGAUCCCGGGGGACGGGCCCGAAAGGCAGCGGCGGCACCGCGUCCGGUCCUCGAGCGUAUGGGGCUUUGUCACCCGCUCUGUAGGCCCGGCCGGCGCUUGCCGAUCAACCCAAAUUUUUAUCCAGGUUGACCUCGGAUCAGGUAGGGAUACCCGCUGAACUUAAGCAUAUCAAUAAGCGGAGGA
RNAcentral lists this unclassified non-coding RNA (586 nucleotides) under Penicillium rubens. RNAcentral's name for it is "partial contains ITS1, 5.8S rRNA and ITS2". The stretch from base 208 to 360 matches the Rfam family "5.8S ribosomal RNA". Lineage: Eukaryota; Fungi; Ascomycota; Eurotiomycetes; Eurotiales; Aspergillaceae. The record is from RNAcentral.